UACGUAGGGUGCAAGCGUUGUCCGGAAUUAUUGGGCGUAAAGAGCUUGUAGGCGGUUUGCCGCGUCUGCUGUGAAAUUUCGGGGCUCAACCCCGAACUUGCAGUGGGUACGGGCAGACUAGAGUGUGGUAGGGGAGACUGGAAUUCCUGGUGUAGCGGUGAAAUGCGCAGAUAUCAGGAGGAACACCGAUGGCGAAGGCAGGUCUCUGGGCAUUAACUGACGCUGAGGAGCGAAAGCGUGGGGAGCGAACAGG
Molecule: ribosomal RNA, 253 nt
Filed under: uncultured bacterium
Lineage: Bacteria
Description: partial 16S ribosomal RNA
Rfam family: Bacterial small subunit ribosomal RNA
Source: RNAcentral